CUGGGCCUCCUUCCUGUGAUAUAGGAGGGCGCUAUGGAAAAAAACAUGGAAGCAUUUCUGAGGAGAACACAGACCGAGGGAAAGGAAAUCCUCACAGUCAGUGUUUCUAUGGACCUCAGGGAUUCAUCACAAGCACCUUACUGGAUUGAUGCACCAGUUACAGAUGGAGAAAGUGAGGCAGAGAUGAAGUGACUUUUCAAGGAGACUAACCAAUCCUGAUCCCUCCCUAGUGUGAGAUUGGUCCUCUCAUAGACCAAACCAAUGCCUGGAAGUAGGGGACAGAGAAUCUUGGGGCAUGCUGGAGAAGGUAAUACCAACAUGUAGUCUUUUCAAAAUCCACAUUGAUAAAAAUAAAAGGAUUCCAUGAUAACCA
RNAcentral lists this long non-coding RNA (373 nucleotides) under Monodelphis domestica (gray short-tailed opossum). RNAcentral describes it as "lncRNA (ENSMODG00000038686.1)". Lineage: Eukaryota; Metazoa; Chordata; Mammalia; Didelphimorphia; Didelphidae. The record is from RNAcentral.